This 465-nucleotide ribosomal RNA is filed under the name Vreelandella stevensii. RNAcentral's name for it is "partial 16S ribosomal RNA". It matches the Rfam family "Bacterial small subunit ribosomal RNA", at positions 338 to 795 of the family's 1533-position model. The record is from RNAcentral. Lineage: Bacteria; Pseudomonadati; Pseudomonadota; Gammaproteobacteria; Oceanospirillales; Halomonadaceae.
CCUACGGGAGGCAGCAGUGGGGAAUAUUGGACAAUGGGGGCAACCCUGAUCCAGCCAUGCCGCGUGUGUGAAGAAGGCCCUCGGGUUGUAAAGCACUUUCAGUGAGGAAGAACGCCUGGUGGUUAAUACCCAUCAGGAAAGACAUCACUCACAGAAGAAGCACCGGCUAACUCCGUGCCAGCAGCCGCGGUAAUACGGAGGGUGCGAGCGUUAAUCGGAAUUACUGGGCGUAAAGCGCGCGUAGGUGGCUUGAUAAGCCGGUUGUGAAAGCCCCGGGCUCAACCUGGGAACGGCAUCCAGAACUGUCAAGCUAGAGUGCAGGAGAGGAAGGUAGAAUUCCCGGUGUAGCGGUGAAAUGCGUAGAGAUCGGGAGGAAUACCAGUGGCGAAGGCGGCCUUCUGGACUGACACUGACACUGAGGUGCGAAAGCGUGGGUAGCAAACAGGAUUAGAUACCCUAGUAGUC